UAUUUUUAACUGAACUCAUGGUUACCCUGGUAGUCCAUCCUCCCAACUGCUCCAAUUCACAGAUAGGAACCUAGGCUAAGAGAGGCUAAUUGCAUAAUUUGCUCCAGGUUAGACCUCUGGUGAGUAGCUGAGCAGGGUCACCUGUUCGGUGGCAAAGUGGUGGCAUCUGGCCGGGCGCGGUGGCUCAUGCCUGUAAUCCCAGCACUUUGGGAGGCUGAGGCAGGUGGAUGACCUGAGGUCGGGAGUUCAAGACCAGCCUGACCUAUAUGGAGAAACCCGGUCUCUACUAAAAAUACAAACUUAGCCAGGUGUGGUGGCACACGCCUGUAAUCCCAGCUAUUCAGGAGGCUGAGGCAGGAGAAUCGCUUGAACCCGGGAGCUGGAGUUUGCAGUGAGCCGAGAUUGCACCACUGCACUCCAGUCUGGGCAACAGAGCGAGACUCCAUCAAAACAAACAAACAAACAAACAACAAAAAAACCCACAAACAAACCACACACACAAAAACGCAAAGGUUAGGCUUCAUCCCAGCCCCCGUGGAUCAGAAACUCUGGCGCUAGGGACCAGCAAUCUGUUUUAAGGAGCUCUCCAGGUGAGCUGGAGGCUACAAUUAGAGAAUGACUGCUCUGGGCUCCAGGAGAAGGUAAGGAAAGCAGGUACGUGCUUUCGCUGCAGAAGGCAAAUUGUAUUGUUUCAACCUUUUUGAAUUACCUAUGGAUAACAGGUAUUGUGAGCCUGUAAACGGCCACCAAUGGCACCUCUGAGAAGCCACUGAGAAGUAGACAUGGUUUUAUCCAUGGAGGUAUUUAAGACAAUGUAUUUAUAAACAUGGAAUACUGGAAACAGUCUGAGUCUCCAGCAAUAGGGGACUGGGGAGAGAAACCUUGGUUCAUCUAAAAGAUGGCUGCUGUGCAGUUUUGAAAAGUGAGUGUGUAAAGACCGCACAACGUGGUACAAUAGGAGCAGACAAGUCCUCCUGGGUUGCCCAGGACUUUCCCAAUUUUAGCACAAGAAGGCCGGCAUUUUGGAAAACUCCUUGGUCCUGAGAAAAUGGGGACAAUUGGUCACCCUAGCUAUAAUCGGCACUAGUGCCACACCCCAAGUAUUACUGUCCUCCCAUGUUGCAUGGCCGGUGGUAGGAUGGUAUUUCAUCUGGCCUUGCAGUGAGGUAGCUAUGUGACAUGUUUUGGCCAAUGCAAUGUGAGCGGAAGUGGCAUGUCACAUCCAGACAGCGCUCCUGGCAAUUCAUGCCAGGAUGGCACCUCCUCAGCCUAGGUCCCUGAGUGACUAUGAUAAGCAGAGACUCCAUGCCGAUCCCUACCCUGCAAUCCCAGGGCAUAGGGUGUGAGCAAGACAUAACCUCUUGUGGUGUGUGAAGCCACUGAGAUUUGGGGAUAUUUGUUGCCACAGUGUAACCUAACCUGUCCUGGCUGGUAUACACGUGGACAUCCGGAUUUCAUAGUUUUAAGGCUUAAGUGUUAGGCCGGGCAUGGUGCCUCACACCUGCAAUCUCAGUACUUUGGGAAGGCCGAGGCGUGCAGAUCACUUGAGGUCAGGAGUUCGAGACCAGCCUGGGCAACAUGGUGAAACCCCGCCUCUACUAAAAAUACAAAAAUUAGCCGGGUGUGGUGGUGCAUGCCUGUAAUCCCAGCUACUCGGGAGGCUGAGGCAGGAGAAUCGCUUGAACCUGGGAGGAGGAGGUUGCAGUGAGCUGAGAUUGUGCCACUGCACUCUAGCCUCAGGGACAGAGCGAGAAUCUGUCUCCAGAAAAAAAAAAAAAAUUGGCUUAAGGUUACAAAACUGCAUUUGCAGUAUCAUUGCAGAGACAUAACAGGUGUGUUGGAAAUAUUCUGAAAUGUUUACAAAAUUAUCAGGUAGAGGAAUUCUUGGUCUAGGUUUUUUUUUAACUUUUAGGAUUGGGAUACAUGUGCAGGUUUGUUAUAUAGAUAAACUGCCAUGUGAGUUUGGUAUACGGAUAAUUUUGUCACCCAGGUAAUAAGCAUAAUACCCACCAGGUAUUUUUUUCUAAUCCUCUCCGUCCUCCCACUGUCCACCCUCCAGAAGGCCCCAGUGUCUGUUGUCCCUCUCCUAGUAUUCAUGUGUCCUCAUUAUUUAGCUUCCACUUAUACGUGAGAACAUGCGGUAUUUGGUUUUCUGCUCCUGUCUAUGUUCGUUUGCUUAGGAUAAUGGCCUCCAGCUCUAGCCGUGUUGCAACAGAGGACAUGAUCUCAUUUGUUUUUUGGUCUAAGUUUUUCUUCCUCUUCAUUGCGCUUUCCAAUUUUCUGCAAUGAGCAUGUUUUAUUAAUUUUUAAAUGGGGGACAUUUUCUGAAAAAAUCAUUUCUUUGGAUCAAAGGUUGGUCCCCUCUGGGCUCUUAUUUAUGAACUGAAAAUCCCUUGGGGGAGGGAGAAAGAGAAGAGUUAAGCUUUAGCCUCAAAGGAUCACAGGGACUGGAAAGGUCACAGAAUUAAUCCUGCCCUUCUGCUGGAGCCUUCUAGCUGGUGGCUCCUCCUGGCCUUAGCAAUUGGAUCAGAUGCCUGUUCCUGGUCGUGUGACUCUGGGCAAGUCACAAGCUCUCUGAGCCUCCACGUCCUCAUCUGUUAAAUGGGAAUAAUCCUGUUUACCUUGUGGGCUCCUGGGAGGAUCAGAUGAGAUGAAGUAUGUUCUACAAAUGCCGGCGCCUUCUGCCUCGGUCUUCUUCAUGGAGCCUCCGUGCUGGGUGACUUAGGGCGUGUGCCUGAAUGUCUGUGACCUUUGAUUUCAUCAUGGAAGAACAGGCAGGGUGCUUUUUUAGGCCAGGGCAUUUCUGGAUGGGGCUGGAGGCCCCCGUACAGAAGCUGAGAGGGAUGGAAAAGGAGAGGGCUUGUAGGCCUUGGUGUUCAGCAGCCGAACAAAAACUUUGAGCCUGGCAACCCCAGACCACGAAGCCAGCCCACCAAAAGCCAAAUGGUGAAACCUCUGGAGUCUUAAAGUAGCCCCGGGGACAGGGGUGGUCAGGGAGGGCUUCCUGCAGGAGGAGAGCUGGCAGGAUGGCAUGGACAGCCCCCAUUGCCUUCCAUGGUUCUGUCCUGUUCAGAGUCCUUGAACUCAGCCCUCUCGAGGGAGACUCCAUCAAGAAUAUAACAGUGACAGCUAAUAUCUGCUGACGGCGUGCAGUAGACCAGGUUUACCCAAUCCAGUGUCAGUCCACACGGUGCCACUUUGGGGUAGGACUUGGGGAGACUCACCGUGGAGAAAAGUUCGCUGGGUGAAUUGGUGGCUGAACCCCAUCUGCUCCGGAGGAAACAGCUGUCCUUUCCUUCUCCAGGAUAAAGCAGCCACGGGGCACAACUCUUCCAGUCCACAGGGCCACCCAGAAUGACCCCAGUUCCUUGCUGCACCUUGUGGAUAUGUCUGAUCUCUACCGUGACCCUAUGUCUUGGGGUGCCUGGAGCAGUCCUGGUUUCUGCCUGUUGUCCUGGCGUCCCCUGGAAUCCAGAUUCCAGCACUCAUAGGAAGGGCUAUUAUGGAUGAUGAGUUUGUGGUCGCCCUGACACAGGUUUCAGAUCAGAUGGCGCUGGUUCCAUGCCGGCUCAGGUCCUUCUUGGCUGGGCCAGAGUGCGCCUGAGGGCCCUUCUCUGUAAAAUGGGGAUAGUCACGCCUGCUUAGGGAGUGCUGGAAGGUUGGAAGACAGCAUGUAGUGGGAGGCGCUGGCCUUAGCGAGUGCUCCAUGGUUGGCGGCUUUGGCCAUGACAUACUGAUGCUGGGCAUGGUGGGGGUGGGCCGGGGUGUCCAGGGCAAACCUGGGUCUUUGUGGGUUACUUUUGAGGGUCACGUGCUGUUAAGAACCCACACACUGGGAUUGGAACCCAGGCCUGCAGGUGGACCCCAGGACCCAGGUGCCUGCCAGUACACACCACUGAGCCAAGACUAAAUGGCCAAGAAAGGGGAGGGGGCGGAAUCGGGCAGACAGGGGAGGGAGGGGCAAGUGGGAGAGGUGGGAGUGGGGAGAGGAGGAGGAGAUAAGAGGGUGAGAGGGUGCGGAAGAGGAGGUGGGAAGGGCUUUCUGCUGAGCCCAGGACUCUUGUCUAACUCGCAGCUGAAGGUGUCCACGGGGAGGUCCUGCUGCCCCUCUGACGCAGUGUGACCUGUUCACCUCCCCUCCGCCCGACUCCUUCCCCACACCUGCCCUUCGCUGGGCUGUUUCGGGGAAUGCUGUCACCUCCCACAAGUCUUAGCCCCGGAGGCCCAUCAAGCCUCUUUCCUCCUGUCCAGCGACCGCUCUGUUCCUCCCUCACCUCCUCCAGCCCCCUGUGGCCCACCUAGCCUCCUUAAUCCAUCCCUUGAGUGGUCGAUCCUAGGGGCUAUCCCCAGACGGCUUCCAGCCGUCUCUCUCCUGCUUUGAACCCUUUCCUGGCUCCCCGUCACCGUCCUGGUAAAGUCACCCACGCAGGCUGGCCAGUGUGUCUCCGCUUCUGUUGCAUUCCAAGUCCAGCUGUUCUAGGCAGGCCUCCUCCAGGCCCACCAAAGAAUUCACCGCUUCUCAAAUGUGCCAAACUCCUGUGUGGGGGCUCCGUGCUCCAGUCUCCCCAGGCCCCACAGCCCCUCUUCCCUCAUCCUUACCGUCGCUCCCAACGCUGUCCCCAUAGCGAGGUCACUUCAUCCUCCUCCGCCGGCCCUGCCUGCAGACCAGAUUCGCCCACGUUUCUCCAGAGCCCAGCGCCCGGCCUGGAACCACCACGGGAAGAGCAUGUUCUCCCCAAAGAGGCCCUGUGGAGUCUGGCUUUUCUCCUGGAGGGUGGUUGUUGGAUCUUGGGCAGAGGAGGCUGUGCUGUCAGGAAGAAGCCAAAAGGGAUGGGACAACAUUGCCAGACAGGGAGGGAGGUGGGGCUGGCUCGCGGGGACGGUCCAGAGAGGGUCCCCACUGGGCCAGGAUCACAUGGCAGUUUGGGGCAAGGCCAGGAUUUUGACCCAGAUGUGUGUCACUCUCUGGCUUCAUUCUUCAGCCAUUCUGGGUGCAGUCUGGAGAGUUGGGAGGCAUGCAGGAGUGAGUGGCUGGGUCUCUGGUGCCCCUCAGAGGCCAGGCUCUCAGGACACUUGGGGUAGGAGGUGGUCCUCCCAUUGAAGGGAAGGAGGGUCUGGAGCCUGCAGUGUCCUGGUGGGAGCAGGCCUGUCUUUGAUGCUCACACUUGCAGACCCCUGGGGAAGGCCUGAGUCAUCACUGAGCCGGCAAACAUAUUUAGCUCCUUUUAUGUCCCUAAUAAAUCAAUUUCUCCAGGUCUUUCAUACCUGCCACUCGACUCGGGCUGCCUGCCCCCAUCUCCUGUCCCCUGGCAGCUCUGUGUGCCAGGCUUCAAGAUGGAGGGGCUCCUCCUCCCCAGAUGGGAAACCUGAGGCUCAGAGAGCUUAGGAAACCUGCUUAAGGCACAGGGUAGAGAGGGCAGGAGCUGUGUUGCAGCGGUGCCUGUUGCAUGUGGAAGUCUCCCUUCAAGGUUUGCAUCAUGGAACUCACCUGGCCCAACCUCUCAGGGAGGAAAAUUCCAACCAGAGAGGGUGCGUGUCCUGUCCCCAGCCUGGCUGCCAAUACUUGAGCACCCUCCUCAGAGAAGCCUCCCCGGAUUGCCCUCUGCCCAGCCCAGCCCAGCCCAGCCCUCCACUGCCUGCUCUGCGUCCUCUGGAACAGCGUGUGUUCAGUACUGCAGGGAUGUGAGCCCCAUGCAGGCAGGGAUUCGGCCUUGUUGUACCAGUGUCUGGGACAGUGCCUGGCACAACGUAGGUGCUCCAUAAACAUUUGUGGGAUGUACAAAUAAAUGAAGGUUAUUGAAUUCAAGCUCCUCCGUUACCCACCAAGUGAUCCUUGGAGCAGCAGUGCUUGCACUCCUCCAGCAACGGGGAACAUUCUACUCACCUCCCG
Molecule: long non-coding RNA, 5890 nt
Filed under: Homo sapiens (human)
Lineage: Eukaryota; Metazoa; Chordata; Mammalia; Primates; Hominidae
Description: HSALNT0277645
Source: RNAcentral